This 175-nucleotide ribosomal RNA is filed under the name uncultured bacterium. Its description in RNAcentral is "partial 16S ribosomal RNA". It matches the Rfam family "Bacterial small subunit ribosomal RNA", at positions 1326 to 1500 of the family's 1533-position model. The record is from RNAcentral.
CUGGAAUCGCUAGUAAUCGCGGAUCAGAAUGCCGCGGUGAAUACGUUCCCGGGUCUUGUACACACCGCCCGUCACACCAUGGGAGUCGGAAAUGCCCGAAGUCUGUGACCCAACCGAAAGGAGGGAGCAGCCGAAGGCAGGUCGGAUGACUGGGGUGAAGUCGUAACAAGGUACC